RNAcentral lists this ribosomal RNA (1173 nucleotides) under Triticum aestivum (bread wheat). Its description in RNAcentral is "partial small subunit ribosomal RNA". The record is from RNAcentral. Lineage: Eukaryota; Viridiplantae; Streptophyta; Magnoliopsida; Poales; Poaceae.
AUGAACCGGCGGCCGGAGCUCUGCAGGAACUACCAGCGCGGCAGCUGCAAGUACGGGGCGCAGUGCAGGUUCGUGCACUCCAACUCCAACCAACAGCAGCAGCAGCAGGCGAAGCCCAACCCCUUCGGGUUCGGCGCCGGGGGCAGGCAGCAGCCGCAGCAGCAGUCGUUCGGUGCGCAGUCCCAGCAGCAGCAGCAGCAGCAGCAGAAGCCCAACCCGUUCGGGUUCGGAGUGCAAGGCGGUGCCGCCCAGCAGCGGAACGAGCCUGGCCCGGCAAAGCCUUUUCAAAAUAAGUGGGUGAGGGAUCCCUCGGCGCCGCCGACAAAGCAAGCGGAGGCGCAGCCAGCACCGCAGGCGGCCCACACAUCCUGUGCAGACCCCGAGUCCUGCAGGCAACAGAUAUCUGAUGAUUUCAAGAAUGAGGCUCCCCUGUGGAAGCUUACUUGUUAUGCUCAUCUCAGAAGUGGUCCUUGUGACAUUACGGGGGAUAUUAGCUACGAGGAGCUGAGAGCUAAAGCAUACGAAGAGGGCAAACAAGGGAAGCCUAUGCAGUCAAUAGUUGAAGGAGAAAGGAAUCUACAAAAUGCAAAGUUGGCGGAGUUCACUAAUUUGCUGAACAAGGCACGUGCAACACCAAGCUUUCCUACUGCAGGCUCCUUCCCAGAAGUGAAAAAUAACUCAACCUUUGGGAGUUCUCAAACUAAUGGACCACCUGUGUUUAGUAGUUUCAAUCAACUUGGAGCAGCAACAAAUUUCGGAUCUGGGCCAAGAACUGCCACACCAGGAGUUCCAAUGAAUACCAUUUUCGGUCAGCCUACACAGUCUACUCCAUCGUUUGGUGCCCCUGCUUUUGGCAGUACUGGAAUGAGAUUUGGAGUUCCAGUUGGGAGCCAGACAUCAAAGCAAUCAUUUGGGAGUUACCAAGGCUCGAGCAUGUCCAGCAACAGCAAUUUUCAGAACUCUACUUCGUCUGGCCAUCACAGAGACAUUGAUAAGCAGUCAGUGGAGUUACUUAAUGGGAUGACACCUCGUACAAGUGCCAUGGACCAGGCAGCUGUUGAAGCCAGUAGAAACGAAAAGCAGGAUGAUAGCAUUUGGCUGAAGGAAAAAUGGGAAAUUGGACAGAUACCGCUGGAUGAACCGCCAGCGAGGCAUGUUAGCCAUGUAUUUUAA